Non-coding RNA from Populus trichocarpa (black cottonwood), 156 nucleotides. The record is from Rfam. NCBI's taxonomy places the organism in Eukaryota, Viridiplantae, Streptophyta, Magnoliopsida, Malpighiales, Salicaceae.
UGUAGAACUCGAGAUAUGGGCUAAACACUGAACAAUGUCUGGGCUGCAGGACAGAUUCCAACUUCUCUUUUGUUGCUACAAUUUGAACUUGAGAAUGUCCGUUUUGAAUCUUGUACUCUUCAUGAAAGUUUUAGGCCUAUGUCUUAGCUUUCUAUA